CAGUAGCCGCGGUAAUACGUAGGUGGCAAGCGUUAUCCGGAAUUAUUGGGCGUAAAGCGCGCGUAGGCGGUUUCUUAAGUCUGAUGUGAAAGCCCACGGCUCAACCGUGGAGGGUCAUUGGAAACUGGGAAACUUGAGUGCAGAAGAGGAAAGUGGAAUUCCAUGUGUAGCGGUGAAAUGCGCAGAGAUAUGGAGGAACACCAGUGGCGAAGGCGACUUUCUGGUCUGUAACUGACGCUGAUGUGCGAAAGCGUGGGGAUCAAACAGGAUUAGAUACCCCCGUAGUCCCUGUCUCUAUACA
This 301-nucleotide ribosomal RNA is filed under the name uncultured bacterium. RNAcentral's name for it is "partial 16S ribosomal RNA". It matches the Rfam family "Bacterial small subunit ribosomal RNA", at positions 509 to 808 of the family's 1533-position model. The record is from RNAcentral.